UUCCCCUAAUUUACGCACACACUCAGCCCUCACCAUGUACACAGACAGAAAGAAAAGGGUGGAGCUCGAAGAGAGGGGGGAGAAGGACAAGGAAGGAGAAGGGGAAAAGGAGAGACGGCGCCGGUGGGUGUCACCGCCACCGUCGCCGCCGUCGGGAGAGUCAUAACGCAAGGAGAGAGAGAGAGCGCUGCAGCCACUGGAGAGGAGCCCUCCAGCCCUCGUCACUAUCAGCUCCAUCGCCGUCGUCACCAUUGGAUCUGCGUGAAACGGUCGUCCUCAUCGUCACAAUCGAUGCUUCUCCUCGUCGUUUGUGGGUUGUCACCUCUCCUGCUUCUGCUGUCACGCCAUCGUCUGCCCUUCUGGACUUUGCUGAUUUUGAAUCACGCCCUGUCACUGGUUCUCUGCCUCCUUGUUGUGGCCCAACCUCUAAUUAGGAUCGCUGUUGGUUGCAGCAGAUUAGAGCGCCUCAGCUUGAAGUGGUGCUUUGAGAUUUCUGAUCUUGGCGUUGACCUUCUUUGCAAGAAGUGCUUCUAUUUGAAAGUUCUCGAUGUCUCGUAUCUCAAGGUUAGUUAGUUAGUUAGUUAUGGAAAGGUGUUUGGCCAUGACAUUAUUGGUAGUACUUAUUUGAGAGCCACUAAUUGGAUAUGCUGAUUAGAUGAUCCAUUUUGGUUUUGACUUUUCAGUUUUCACACUUAGUCCUUUGUCUUUGUUCAAAACAGUUAUCUCAGUUCCACAUUACAGUACCAUGUGCAGAUUGGUGAAUGAAAGGGACAGAGAGAUUGAGAAACAAAGCUGGACACUGUGAGUUUUUGGCCUAUAAUAUCAGUUCAAACAACAUAAAAAGUAUAACUAGAUCAUUGUCAAGUUUUACAUUCAUGCCUUGAGUUUUCAAGACUCAACAAAAACAAAGGGGAAGCAUUGGAAGCUGGGAAGAGUUACUAUGGAAGGUUGCUGAAUUACAAGAAGGAUGGGAUGCCCUUCUGGAACCUACUUACAAUUUCACCCAUCAAGGACGAAGACGGCAAAGUCAUCGAAUUCAUCGGGAAGACAUGAUGUGAAGAAAAUAUGUUCCAUACAAAUAUGACAUGGAAUGGGUCUUACACUUUAAUUAUCUAAAUGUAAUUUUUUGAUGUGUUCUGUACUUUUUGAAAAGAGACUUUACUCGGUAUUACAUGUAAUUGGAUAUAUUACACUCUAUUUUGAUUUCUGUUGUUUAGACUCAAA
Molecule: RNA transcript, 1224 nt
Organism: Arachis duranensis
Lineage: Eukaryota; Viridiplantae; Streptophyta; Magnoliopsida; Fabales; Fabaceae
Gene name: phototropin-2
Exons: 4
Source: RefSeq, a predicted model, not a curated record